UUACGGGAGGCAGCAGUGAGGAAUAUUGGACAAUGGGCGCAAGCCUGAUCCAGCCAUGCCGCGUGCAGGAUGACGGUCCUAUGGAUUGUAAACUGCUUUUAUACGAGAAGAAACAACUCUACGUGUAGAGUCUUGACGGUAUCGUAAGAAUAAGGACCGGCUAACUCCGUGCCAGCAGCCGCGGUAAUACGGAGGAUCCAAGCGUUAUCCGGAAUCAUUGGGUUUAAAGGGUCCGUAGGCGGUCAGAUAAGUCAGUGGUGAAAGCCCAUCGCUCAACGGUGGAACGGCCAUUGAUACUGUCUGACUUGAAUUAUUAGGAAGUAACUAGAAUAUGUAGUGUAGCGGUGAAAUGCUUAGAGAUUACAUGGAAUACCAAUUGCGAAGGCAGGUUACUACUAAUGGAUUGACGCUGAUGGACGAAAGCGUGGGUAGCGAACAGGAUUAGAUACCCUGGUAGU
This 458-nucleotide ribosomal RNA is filed under the name uncultured bacterium. Its description in RNAcentral is "bacterial SSU rRNA". It matches the Rfam family "Bacterial small subunit ribosomal RNA", at positions 339 to 794 of the family's 1533-position model. The record is from RNAcentral.